RNAcentral lists this long non-coding RNA (5374 nucleotides) under Theobroma cacao (cacao). RNAcentral's name for it is "long non-coding RNA (TCAC_LNC001089)". Lineage: Eukaryota; Viridiplantae; Streptophyta; Magnoliopsida; Malvales; Malvaceae. The record is from RNAcentral.
AAUUUUCGGGCCAUGACCGGUGCAUGGGCCCAAUGGACAUAACCCACUAAGCCUAAGCAAGGGUAUCUAUAUGACCUGUUUAUCAUUCCAUCAGAGUUGUUAAAGUCACAUUUCAUAAUUUCAAUUCAAAAUAUUGAUAACGAUUGCCAACUCAUCAUGGCAUUACCAAUCAAAAUAUACAUAUAAAGUCUAAGACAUACAUCUUAGUACUUUACAUCACAUGAACGUAUUUACAACAAAAAUGACUCUGGGCUUCCAGCGAAGUGACCAAGGUAAAGCUACGGCUAUGGAAUGCCAAGAUACCUACCAAGGAUAUGAAUCUAUGAAGACAUCUCGACCUAGGUACCGGCUGCCUCUUGAUCUAAAAACAUGAAGUUGGAAACGGUGAGUAUAAACCCAGUGAGUGAACAUAAGAGGGAACAAGUAAACGAUAAGGAAUAUUGAAAGAAAACCUGAUGCAUUUAUUUUCAAAAACAAUGCAAUUUAAUUUAGUUCUUAUUAAAACCCCUCAUUAAACCCUUAAUGAAUAAAUCACUUGAUGAUAAAGGGUCCAUGUGCAACAAAGGAUUUGAAAAGUCAAGCAAAUCAAGUCAAGUAAACGAUGGGUCCUUGCUGCAGCGAAAAGGCAUUCUCACUGCAGCUAGAAUGAAUUUUUGAUGUAGCGAAAUUUGGCUCAAAUUAUCAACUGGUCGAGGGUUUCUUAACUAGUCGAGGGUUUCUCACCAAACCCCCUCAUUUCAAACUUAAUUAAUUAAUUCCUUAAUGUUGGAAGUCCAUGCUCAACUAUGGUACCAAAGAAGUGGAAAAUAGGGCAGCAACUGAACAAGAAAAUAAGCAAGACAAAAAGUUUCUCGCUGCAGCGAGAAUUCGUUCUCAUAGCAAAAUUUAAGCAGUAAAACAGAAAGUUUCUCGCUGCAACGAGAAUCAAGCCAAUGUAACCCUCCAAACUUGAGAGUUUUUCGUUGCAAUGAGAAACAGGACACCAACAAUAAAUUUUCGUUCUCCCAAAGAAAGGCCAUUUAGCUACAAAGACAAAAUCAACUUGAACAUGCUUAGAAAUUCCCAAGGUUUAACAUGCAAGAUUCACAUGUAUUACAACCAUAUACCAUACUCAUGAACUUUCUAUAACAUACAUAUUUAUCUAUAUAUUUAUACACAUCAUCAUGUAUACCAUCCCACCAUCAUCAGCUCAUGUGCACUCCCCACUCACACAUAGCUGGGUCAUCAUUAGCUCAUGUGCACUCCAUAUCGCACAUAGUUGGGUAAUCAUCAGCUCAUGUGCACUCCCCCACAUGCACAUAGCUAGGUCAUCAUUAGCUCAUGUGCACUCCCACACACACAUAGCUGGGUCAUCAUUAUCACAUAAAACAAAAGAACAUCCAAUGCAUAUUAUACAUAUCAACACAUGAACCAUUAUAUGGCACACUUUCACAAGAUAGAAACAUUCACCAAAGGCUUGUUCCCUAGGUAGAUUUUUAAGGAAAAGUUGGAUAAAAUCAUUUAAAUGUUUUGUGCAAAUACAUUCACAUUCCCAAAAUAAUUUUGAAAUGUAAGUUCACUCACUGGUAUUCGUUAAAUCUUUAUUUAACUCCAACUUCCUCUAAUGGUCUAAAUGGGGUGGUGGGGCUUCGUUGGAACCUAUCAUCACAUUAGCAUCAUCACCAUCAACCCAACUUGGCAUUAAUACUAUUCCAAAGCUAUUUUCUAGAUUGAGUUGUACUAGUCAUUCCUAUUAGCCUCCAACUACCAUUAAAUUGCUAUUAUUUGCACUACUCUAGUAACACUAAAAAUGAUUAAACAAUCUCAACAAUAAAACACUCACAAAUCAAAUUACUAGACAUUAUCAACAAUUAAAAAUAAAGUUUAAUUCACUACUCACUUUGGUAGCUUUGUAAAUUUGAAAUUUUAUCCAAUAAUUUUCAAGCUAUUAUAGAAACUCCUUUUUUCUCUCUCUAAAACACCUAGCUAGUGAGAGAGAAUAUGAAAGUAAGACUUUUCAAGGGUUUUAAAGUGAGAGAGUGAAAGAGCACAAAUGUUCUAUGUAAGGGUGCACAAAAGCAUGAAAAGUAGAGCUAGCUUGAAAGAGUUAUGGAAGUUUGAAGAAAACUCCCAUGGAGGAUGAAGAAACGUGAGAGGGAAGAAGGAAGAAGAAGCAGCUAGAAAUGUGAGAAGAAGCUACUAGAAGAUGAUAUUUAUAGCUCAAGCUUAUCCAACUCCACUUAAAUUAUGAAAAUGCCCUUAGCAAGUUAGCUUAUUCUUCUCCAAUCCUUUGUGCAAUCUUUUUACUCUUUUGACACCGAGACUAGGUCCACAAUGGUCUAAAACUACUCGAGUUUAUGAAAACUUAAAAUUUUAACUUGAGAUGAAAAAUGACCAUUUUGCCUUUACCUUGGAAAUCAUCAUUAUUUUUAUUUCCUUCGUCCUUUUACCCUUAUUUUCAUCAUUCAUUUAUGCCUUAGGCCUACUUAGGCCUUAAUAUUGUUUGAAAGCCUACUUUUAGGGGCUCAUUAAAAAAAUGACGAAAUUACCCCUAGCCAAUGUUAUCAUGUUUACACCUAGUUACGAGGCUAUUGAGGUCGAGGUCUCGCAAUGUGAUAGUAGAUUCUCUUAUUAUUUACAUUCAUGGGUGGUUGUACAAACCUAGAAUUCAAAGCUAUGUACAAGUCUCUAUCUAGAUGCUUGCACAAAUACCUAAUUUAAUUGAGUCACUAUAUGUCUAUAGUAAUCAAUUAAAUAAGGUUCAUUAAGAUAGUAUUCUAAUUUGGAUAUAUAUGGCAACCUGAGCAUGUCUACCUGAAUCAUGAAUUAGAUCACCUAAGUGACGUGACAUACACUAUUCAAAUCAUAGUCCAAUCUAAAAUCUAUCUAUUAAGUCUCAAUUAGAUUCACAAAUUAGUUAAUUGUUGAUCAAGCAAUUAAAAGCAUUAUAAACAAAUUUGAAUAAGCAAAGCUCUACUUAUUCAUAAUAAAUAAAAGAGAAAUUAAUAUUUAGACUACAUGUUGAAAUCCACCACUGUAACACUCGAAACUCUCAUCGAGCCCGUGACAACCGUCACGAUGUCUUGAUAGACAUUCAUUACACGGAAUGUCAAUCGAAACCUCGCAAGGCUUAACAUCAGUUUUUCUCGCUUCCCCUGUGAGUAUUAGUUACUAAAAUCAUGUUUUGAGAGAUUAUAAACUAUUUUCAAAUCAAAACAAUAGAAAAAUAAUUUUUUUCUCAUAGGGGCAUUUUGGUCAUUUUUUCCCAAAAAUUUUGAAACCAGCUAAAAAUGUAGUAUGCGAGAAUAAAACACAUAAUUCAUAAUCAAAAAUAAGUUUAAACGUCUAUAACCUUCAUUUAAAAUGAAAUUAUGAUUAUUUGGAUAAAAUAAAAAAAAUAAAAAAAUAUUCAAUAAAAUAUUCUAUUCUCUUAUAAAAUAAUAUUUUUAGAGUUAUACAUAAAUAAUUUGUUGUAGUGUAAAAGCAAAAUAAAUUCAUACAUACUGUAAUACAAUAAGCCAGAGUAUUUAAUUUAAUUUACAAUAACUAGUGGGCCCCUGAAUAACUAAAAGUAAGAAAGACUAUGAACUUACAGUUUGAAGGAUGCAAAUCCAGUGGUAGCCUCGAUGAAAUCAGCUAUCUACAGCCUAUUCUGAGCCUAAAAUGGGUGAAAAUGAGGGUGGUGAGAUUAUAUAAUCCCAGUGAGUAAACAAAUACCAUCUAAAAUAUUUAAAGCCAAGUAAAUCGAGAUAGAUAAAAUAGUUUAACAUACUGUAAUUCAUCACCUUUCAACUUGUUUCAACCAAACAAAAUCAAUUCAUAUAAAUCGAGUAAUUAACAUGGCUUAUGAAUUUCUUAAAAGUUUGGCUCAUGCCAAAAUCAUUCUCAUACUCAGUUAUCAAAGAUACCUCGAUUGAGGGCUAUCCCAACCGAGUCUGCCAAAGCUGUUAAAAAGUUAUGUACGCAUAAAUCAUGUUUUUAUUUUGAAAACAUAGUUGUUCUUUGGCAUUGGCUGAGUUCACCCUCACAUGGUGGUUUGGCGUGAAGUGAACUCUAAAGUGUUAACCUCAGGAGUUAUACAUCCGUACCUCUCAUACUGAGGUAUGAAUAUAAUAGGGUUACCGUGCCCCUCUAAUAGGCUGGGCCACGGAACUCGUCCACUGCAACGACUAAUUUAUAACCCACCAUACAAUAAAAUUUGCUAUAGCAUGACAUGACCAUUAUUUUAUUUUACAGCCUCUCAAGGCAAAUUAACCGUUCAUACAUUUUCAACACAUUUACCAAAUCAACCAUUCAUGCCAAUAUUAUCAUAAGCCAUUCAAUUAGAACCAUAAAUUCACAAUACAUCAAAUGGUCUCCAAUUACUCUAUUUUCAAAGCCAUCAUUCAAUUUCAAAAUAAUUUAUAAAAUUAUUUCAUUUUAACACAUUUUGUUUAUAAAACCUAAAAAUUUACCAUUUAAACUCAUUUUUCAUAAAAUCACAAAAUCGGAUAAAAACCACUUUAGAUAAUUAAGACGAUAGUAAGGUUACUCACUAUUUCGGGAGUCGAAUUCUGAGUACUCCGAUUCUUGAUCCUCGGGUACUAUCUCUUUACUUUUGCCAGAAUGCUCACCACCUAGACAUAAUGCACAAUAAGCCAUUUGCUACAUUUGUGCUAAAUUGUUAUCAAACCAAUUCAGGCUCUAUACUAAUGCAUGAAAUGGGAUGUGAAAUACUCGGGUAACUAUCUAAAUACGGUAUUCCAUAUAAAUUCAAUUAUGUACCUAAAUAAAAUGGUAUUGGCCUAAUUCGAUCUAUCACCCGAUUAGUUGGCCAAUACGUCCAAUUCAACUCCAAUUAACUCCAUUUUUCUUCCAAUUCUCCAAACCAUCAAACACAAGUUAAAUAACUUGAAAUAUGGCAAAAUCAUUCUCACAUUUUCUCUUGGAAACUUCGGCCAUGGUCGGUGGAUCAACACUAUAAUUUUUCCUACUUGAUUCUCACACCAUAAAUCACUAAUUCUUAACCAAAUCACUUAAAAUAAAAUCAAAAUCAUCCUCAAUAUUCCACAUGGAGAAUUCAGCCAAUGAUGGGUGAUGGAAGAACAUUAAUUUUUCUUUCUUGAAUUUCAUGCUACACAUCACCAAUAAACUAAAAACACUAAAAUACAUUGAAAUCUAACCAAAUCAAGCAUCAAAACCUCUCUCCUAGGGUUUGAUCAGCACACUAUCCUUCAUGAUAUCUUGUGAUUCAACCAUGGAAAAUGCAAAAUAAUGCAUGGGAAAGGUAGAUCACAAAUCAAAAUCAAGAAAUUUUACCUUUGAUUGCUUGAUUACUUGAAAUCCACUAAUUUUCUCUUGAAUUUUCACCCUAGGGUUCUUGUUCUUCCUUUUUCUUCCUUUGUUCUUGCUUUGG